UGGGGAAUUUUGGACAAUGGGCGAAAGCCUGAUCCAGCAAUGCCGCGUGUGUGAAGAAGGCCUUCGGGUUGUAAAGCACUUUUGUCCGGAAAGAAAUCCUUGGCUCUAAUACAGUCGGGGGAUGACGGUACCGGAAGAAUAAGCACCGGCUAACUACGUGCCAGCAGCCGCGGUAAUACGUAGGGUGCAAGCGUUAAUCGGAAUUACUGGGCGUAAGCGUGCGCAGGCGGUUUGCUAAGACCGAUGUGAAAUCCCCGGGCUCAACCUGGGAACUGCAUUGGUGACUGGCAGGCUAGAGUAUGGCAGAGGGGGGUAGAAUUCCACGUGUAGCAGUGAAAUGCGUAGAGAUGUGGAGGAAUACCGAUGGCGAAGGCAGCCCCCUGGGCCAAUACUGACGCUCAUGCACGAAAGCGUGGGGAGCAAACAGGAUUAGAUACCCUGGUAGUCCACGCCCUAAACGAUGUCAACU
Molecule: ribosomal RNA, 469 nt
Filed under: uncultured bacterium
Lineage: Bacteria
Description: partial 16S ribosomal RNA
Rfam family: Bacterial small subunit ribosomal RNA
Source: RNAcentral